AGAGACAGCAGCAGCCGCGGGAAUACGUAGGUCCCGAGCGUUGUCCGGAUUUAUUGGGCGUAAAGCGAGCGCAGGCGGUUAGAUAAGUCUGAAGUUAAAGGCUGUGGCUUAACCAUAGUACGCUUUGGAAACUGUUUAACUUGAGUGCAGAAGGGGAGAGUGGAAUUCCAUGUGUAGCGGUGAAAUGCGUAGAUAUAUGGAGGAACACCGGUGGCGAAAGCGGCUCUCUGGUCUGUAACUGACGCUGAGGCUCGAAAGCGUGGGGAGCGAACAGGAUUAGAUACCCCCGUAGUCCCUGUCUCUUAUACA
Molecule: ribosomal RNA, 309 nt
Filed under: uncultured bacterium
Lineage: Bacteria
Description: partial 16S ribosomal RNA
Rfam family: Bacterial small subunit ribosomal RNA
Source: RNAcentral